This 2904-nucleotide ribosomal RNA is filed under the name Escherichia coli. RNAcentral's name for it is "23S ribosomal RNA". It matches the Rfam family "Bacterial large subunit ribosomal RNA". The record is from RNAcentral. Lineage: Bacteria; Pseudomonadati; Pseudomonadota; Gammaproteobacteria; Enterobacterales; Enterobacteriaceae.
GGUUAAGCGACUAAGCGUACACGGUGGAUGCCCUGGCAGUCAGAGGCGAUGAAGGACGUGCUAAUCUGCGAUAAGCGUCGGUGAGGUGAUAUGAACCGUUAUAACCGGCGAUUUCCGAAUGGGGAAACCCAGUGUGUUUCGACACACUAUCAUUAACUGAAUCCAUAGGUUAAUGAGGCGAACCGGGGGAACUGAAACAUCUAAGUACCCCGAGGAAAAGAAAUCAACCGAGAUUCCCCCAGUAGCGGCGAGCGAACGGGGAGGAGCCCAGAGCCUGAAUCAGUGUGUGUGUUAGUGGAAGCGUCUGGAAAGGCGUGCGAUACAGGGUGACAGCCCCGUACACAAAAAUGCACAUAUUGUGAGCUCGAUGAGUAGGGCGGGACACGUGGUAUCCUGUCUGAAUAUGGGGGGACCAUCCUCCAAGGCUAAAUACUCCUGACUGACCGAUAGUGAACCAGUACCGUGAGGGAAAGGCGAAAAGAACCCCGGCGAGGGGAGUGAAAAAGAACCUGAAACCGUGUACGUACAAGCAGUGGGAGCCUCUUAAUGGGGUGACUGCGUACCUUUUGUAUAAUGGGUCAGCGACUUAUAUUCUGUAGCAAGGUUAACCGAAUAGGGGAGCCGAAGGGAAACCGAGUCUUAACUGGGCGUUAAGUUGCAGGGUAUAGACCCGAAACCCGGUGAUCUAGCCAUGGGCAGGUUGAAGGUUGGGUAACACUAACUGGAGGACCGAACCGACUAAUGUUGAAAAAUUAGCGGAUGACUUGUGGCUGGGGGUGAAAGGCCAAUCAAACCGGGAGAUAGCUGGUUCUCCCCGAAAGCUAUUUAGGUAGCGCCUCGUGAAUUCAUCUCCGGGGGUAGAGCACUGUUUCGGCAAGGGGGUCAUCCCGACUUACCAACCCGAUGCAAACUGCGAAUACCGGAGAAUGUUAUCACGGGAGACACACGGCGGGUGCUAACGUCCGUCGUGAAGAGGGAAACAACCCAGACCGCCAGCUAAGGUCCCAAAGUCAUGGUUAAGUGGGAAACGAUGUGGGAAGGCCCAGACAGCCAGGAUGUUGGCUUAGAAGCAGCCAUCAUUUAAAGAAAGCGUAAUAGCUCACUGGUCGAGUCGGCCUGCGCGGAAGAUGUAACGGGGCUAAACCAUGCACCGAAGCUGCGGCAGCGACACUAUGUGUUGUUGGGUAGGGGAGCGUUCUGUAAGCCUGUGAAGGUGGCCUGUGAGGGUUGCUGGAGGUAUCAGAAGUGCGAAUGCUGACAUAAGUAACGAUAAAGCGGGUGAAAAGCCCGCUCGCCGGAAGACCAAGGGUUCCUGUCCAACGUUAAUCGGGGCAGGGUGAGUCGACCCCUAAGGCGAGGCCGAAAGGCGUAGUCGAUGGGAAACAGGUUAAUAUUCCUGUACUUGGUGUUACUGCGAAGGGGGGACGGAGAAGGCUAUGUUGGCCGGGCGACGGUUGUCCCGGUUUAAGCGUGUAGGCUGGUUUUCCAGGCAAAUCCGGAAAACCAAGGCUGAGGCGUGAUGACGAGGCACUACGGUGCUGAAGCGACAAAUGCCCUGCUUCCAGGAAAAGCCUCUAAGCAUCAGGUAACAUCAAAUCGUACCCAAAACCGACACAGGUGGUCAGGUAGAGAAUACCAAGGCGCUUGAGAGAACUCGGGUGAAGGAACUAGGCAAAAUGGUGCCGUAACUUCGGGAGAAGGCACGCUGAUAUGUAGGUGAAGCGACUUGCUCGUGGAGCUGAAAUCAGUCGAAGAUACCAGCUGGCUGCAACUGUUUAUUAAAAACACAGCACUGUGCAAACACGAAAGUGGACGUAUACGGUGUGACGCCUGCCCGGUGCCGGAAGGUUAAUUGAUGGGGUUAGCGGUAACGCGAAACUCUUGAUCGAAGCCCCGGUAAACGGCGGCCGUAACUAUAACGGUCCUAAGGUAGCGAAAUUCCUUGUCGGGUAAGUUCCGACCUGCACGAAUGGCGUAAUGAUGGCCAGGCUGUCUCCACCCGAGACUCAGUGAAAUUGAACUCGCUGUGAAGAUGCAGUGUACCCGCGGCAAGACGGAAAGACCCCGUGAACCUUUACUAUAGCUUGACACUGAACAUUGAGCCUUGAUGUGUAGGAUAGGUGGGAGGCUUUGAAGUGUGGACGCCAGUCUGCAUGGAGCCGACCUUGAAAUACCACCCUUUAAUGUUUGAUGUUCUAACGUUGGCCCGUAAUCCGGGUUGCGGACAGUGUCUGGUGGGUAGUUUGACUGGGGCGGUCUCCUCCUAAAGAGUAACGGAGGAGCACGAAGGUUGGCUAAUCCUGGUCGGACAUCAGGAGGUUAGUGCAAUGGCAUAAGCCAGCUUGACUGCGAGCGUGACGGCGCGAGCAGGUGCGAAAGCAGGUCAUAGUGAUCCGGUGGUUCUGAAUGGAAGGGCCAUCGCUCAACGGAUAAAAGGUACUCCGGGGAUAACAGGCUGAUACCGCCCAAGAGUUCAUAUCGACGGCGGUGUUUGGCACCUCGAUGUCGGCUCAUCACAUCCUGGGGCUGAAGUAGGUCCCAAGGGUAUGGCUGUUCGCCAUUUAAAGUGGUACGCGAGCUGGGUUUAGAACGUCGUGAGACAGUUCGGUCCCUAUCUGCCGUGGGCGCUGGAGAACUGAGGGGGGCUGCUCCUAGUACGAGAGGACCGGAGUGGACGCAUCACUGGUGUUCGGGUUGUCAUGCCAAUGGCACUGCCCGGUAGCUAAAUGCGGAAGAGAUAAGUGCUGAAAGCAUCUAAGCACGAAACUUGCCCCGAGAUGAGUUCUCCCUGACUCCUUGAGAGUCCUGAAGGAACGUUGAAGACGACGACGUUGAUAGGCCGGGUGUGUAAGCGCAGCGAUGCGUUGAGCUAACCGGUACUAAUGAACCGUGAGGCUUAACCUU